UCUCUGACCUGUUCUCGGAACGUGUUAACCUGCUUUCUGAUCUAACUGACGGUGCAAGUAGUCAUUUAACUGCAGGUCAGCACAUAUCUAUGUCCAUUUAACUGGUGGCGCACUGGUCCUCCUGGGCAGCAUCGCAGUCGGUGACCCUGCCGAGUGGCGUGGUGGAGCGGCCCUUGGCCGGCUAGCACAUCACGAGCGGCUGUGGCGUGUGAAAUCCUUAAGGAUUGUAACCGUCAGGGGAAUAGAUAAGAGACCAUGUCUGUUUGACCUUUUGGUACUGUGUUUUAUACAGAAUGGCAAGGAUAGGCCAAAAAUCAUGGAUAUGUUAUAUAGUCCUUGUUCAUACUUGGGGACUCCAGUAUGAUGGAUUGUGCUUGCUAACGAUACUAUUCUUUCUUGUAUUGCAGAUUAUCAAGACAUUCCUGAUCACAUUAAACCAGCAUAGUAAGCUAUCAGAUUUCUUAGUUACACUGACGUAAGUACAACUAUUGGUCAUACUUCGCCCAUGGAGUUGGAUGAAGCAGGUUACACUGGUGGCAGAGAUCUCAUAGCAUGUGUGCACGGUACCACCCAUAGUGAAUCAUCAGUAACUAAGGCAGCCAGACCCACCAGAUUUCAGAGAAAGGUACAAAACAAACCUAUAAGCAUGCUAAAGGCAUCAAUGGAUAUAUAUACGAGGUAUGAACAUGACAAUUGAUGAAGGCCGUGAUGGUGGUAUAUGCACACGUGGGAGUUGGCUUAUUGAUCUCCCAGCAAUUGGGAAUGAUAAAUGGUGAAGGCUUUUAUGCAAGUUCUGUCCUUAGUAGGUACUUAAAUAUCGUGAUCAUUGUGUUGUCCCUUCCUAACAAUUCUGCAUCAUAUCGAUUGGCAUUAUGCAGGUUUGUGAUACACUACUUUCC
RNAcentral lists this ribosomal RNA (899 nucleotides) under Triticum aestivum (bread wheat). Its description in RNAcentral is "partial small subunit ribosomal RNA". The record is from RNAcentral. Lineage: Eukaryota; Viridiplantae; Streptophyta; Magnoliopsida; Poales; Poaceae.